CCCGACUAUACUUCCUGCCUGGAAACUGGCCAAUCGGUGUUUUAUUCAUCAACCAAUAUGAGAAACAUAUAUACAGAAAGACAUACCCUUCAGUGGACCUUAUUGGGAAGAGCCUGUUGAAUUGGAGGAGGAAAUAGCUUCGAGUAGGGCUGUCACUAACAGUGGGGAUCUCAUUGUAGAGUUUACUUUUGAUUGUAUUGUGAAGCAGUGCCUUGGUAUGUAGCUCAUACUGGCCGUGAACCCACCUCUUCCUGAAUUUUUCACUUAUGUGCUGGAGUUACUCAUGUUUGAGGAAUCCAACAUGGUAUGAUGUUAGAUUUUUAUGGAGUGAUAAAGGGCAGAAGCAAGAACAGAAUACUCUGUAGUGAUUAGGUGUACUCAGCUGGGUUUCUUAUGGAGGGACCCUGUGAGUCAAGUCUCCUGGCAGAUCAAGCACAUGCUCGAAACAGUAGUGUAGGGUCCUUGACUUGAAUAUAUAGAAGAGGAUGAUGGAAACAUUCUGAGAAUUGUAUCCAGAGGGAGAGACAUGAGACAUGGGGAACUAUAAGGAGGAUACUGAUGCUGUAUGAGCAUGGGGAUCAGCAUCACAGGCCUGGAACUGUGUGAAGAUAUCAGCCUCCAGGAAGAAGAGAAAUGAACUUAAAAAAAAUCAAGAGUAAAAGAAAAUGGAUCACACAAUUCAGAAGAUCACUAAGCUAAAGUAACCUAAUCAAUACAAUGCCCUGUACAUAUGUCUGGUCUAAGAGCACAUGACUUUAGCCGAGGUCUGUCUGUGUUGAAGUCUGUGGCCCAUUUUGCCACUGAGAGCCAUGUGGUUGCCUGGGGUCAGGACAGCCACCUAAGUCCAUGUUGGUGGCUGAGAGACAUGCUGAAGCUGGGGCCAUGUAGAUCUUCGUGGCCUAUGCUGCUGCUCAAUCCCAUGAUGACUUCUGGGCCAGAGCUGCAGCUAAGGGCUAUGUCUAGGUUUGCAGUCAGGGUACCCAAGGUUGGUGCCCAAGGUUCCUGUUACCAUUGAAGGCCAUGUGGAUGCCAGAGAAUCGGGAACCAUGUUAGCAUUCAAGAGCCAUCCUGCUUCUGGGGCCAUGCUGAUCUGUAUGGCCUACACUGCCACCUGGGACAAUGGUGACAUCCAGAUUCAGCUGCUACUGAAGGACAAGUCUGGGUCAUGUGGUCCCACUACAGCCAGUGUCUAUGUAGCCAACAAAGGAUACAUGGAAGGCCAGGGUCAGAGCUGCAACCUGUGGCCUUGUUGGUUUCCAGAGGCCAUGAUUACCACCAGAGCCAACCUCAUCUGAGUGGCCUAUGCUUCCACCUAGAGCCAGGGUGUUGCCUGGGUCCAAGCUGCUGCCCAAUGCCAUGUCUAGGUACUUGGUCCUGCUGCAUUUAGGGGCCUGUUUUGAUGUCUCUGGACUGUGCUGCCUCAGGGGACCAUGGGAACCAGAGGGCCAUGGUGAGCUGGCCCUGUACUUCUGGCCCUGGGAUAGUUGACCCUGCCCCUCACUGGAUGCUACAGCAAGAGAGCUGGCACCAACUGUCAUGGGAGUGCUUCUCCCCUGACUCUCAAACUAGGGAGAAAUGGCCCCACACCUCACCACAGGUGAAGGAGAGCUGGCCAUGAUGGCAUGGGCAUAGGAGUGUUGGGUCCACCCCUGUGACCCUAGUGGCCUGGACUAACCAGUUCAACUCCAGGCCCACAGUGGAGCCUGGAGUUGGCACACCUUAACAUUUACCCCAUCUGGGACCUACUGGAGCUUGUGAAGGGACUGGUCCUGUGGAAUGAUAUCCGAAGGCUCAUCAUGACUCUGGAGGGGAGUUUCCAUGAGGAUCCAGUGAUGAUGGUGUACCAGAAACCAGAGGACUUGAACCAAACCAAUGAACAUUUGCAAAUAAAGCUGAUUAAACAAAAGGACAUACUAUGUGACAUACUGAAGCUCCCAAUGCCACCAGGACAAAUGAAGAAGUGUUCGAAAGACAGGGAAAAUGGAGGAACAAAGAGGGUUUUUGUUUGUUUGUUUUUGUUUUUGUUCUUCCCCUUUUAGUUUUUGUCUGUUUGCUUGUUUUAGUUUCAUUUGAUUUUUUAAAAAAAUUUUAUUGGGGGACACUGCAGGGGGAAGGGGAGAAUAUAGAGGAACUGGGAGGUAAUCAGAAUCGGGAUGCAUGAUGUGAAAAUCCCAAAGAUUCAAUACAGAAAUUAUAUUUAGUUACAAAAGUUAAACAAAGAGAAAAAAAA
This 2230-nucleotide long non-coding RNA is filed under the name Cricetulus griseus (Chinese hamster). RNAcentral's name for it is "lncRNA (ENSCGRG00015042907.1)". Lineage: Eukaryota; Metazoa; Chordata; Mammalia; Rodentia; Cricetidae. The record is from RNAcentral.